GGACAUACCCGCAGUUGAUUUAUUUCCUGCUUCCUGUCAUUUGGAGCAAACAACUCUUGAAGAUCUGGAUGAUCCUCAGCCUGGUCCAUCUGGACUUCACUCAACAGCUCCUGAAGAACCUGCUGACCAUCAACCAGAACAACAAACGGCAAAAGACGGAAAGACGAAGGGUAGCAGUACCGGCUUCAAGAGAGCAUGCAAGGCUAUAAAGGGAAAAUUCUCUCGCCACAAAAAGACCCAAGUGGUGCCCUUCAAACCGGAUACAUCGGAUCUACAGCCAGAUCCAAUUGACAAGACACAUUUAUGUGUUUUUGAGCCAGUGGUCGUACAGGACAUACCCGCAGUUGAUUUAUUUCCUGCUUCCUGUCAUUUUGAGCAAACAACUCAUGAAGAUCUGGAUGAUCCUCAGCCUGGUCCAUCUUGACUUCACUCAGCAGCUCCUGAAGAACCUGCUGACCAUCAACCAGAACAACAAAUGGCAAAAGACAGAAAGACGAAGGGUAGCCGUGCCGGCUUCAAGAGAGCAUGCAAGGCUAUAAAGGGAACAUUCUCUCGCCACAAAAAGACCAAAGUGGUGCCCUUCGAACCGGAUCCAUCGGAUCUACAGCCAGAUCCAAUUGUCCAGACACAUUUAUGUGUUUUUGAGCCUGUGGUCGUACAGGACCCUGCAGUUGAUUUAUUUCCUGCUUCCUGUGACUUGGAGAAAACAACUCUUGAAGAUCUGGAUGAUCCUCAGCCUGGUCCAUCUGGACUUCACUCAGCAGCUCCUGAAGAACCUGUUGACCAUCAACCAGAACAACAAACGGCAAAAGACAGAAAGACGAAGGGUAGCCGUGCCGGCUUCAAGAGAGCAUGCAAGGCUAUAAAGGGAACAUUCUCUCGCCACAAAAAGACCAAAGUGGUGCCCUUCAAACCGGAUACAUCGGAUCUACAGCCAGAUCCAAUUGUCCAGACACAUUUAUGUGUUUUUGAGCCAGUGGUCGUACAGGACCCCGCAGUUGAUUUAUUUCCUGCUUCCUGUCAUUUUGAGCAAACAACUCUUGAAGAUCUGGAUGAUCCUCAGCCUGGUCCAUCUGGACUUCACUCAGCAGCUCCUGAAGAACCUGUUGACCAUCAACCAGAACAACAAACGGCAAAAGACAAAAAGACGAAGGGUAGCCGUGCCGGCUUCAAGAGAGCAUGCAAGGCUAUAAAGGGCACAUUCUCUCGCUCCAAAAAGACCAAAGUGGUGCACUUCGAACCGGAUCCAUCGGAUCUACAGCCAGAUCCAAGUGUCCAGACACAUUUAUGUGUUUUUGAGCCAGUGCUCUUACAGGACCCUGCAGUUGAUUUAUUUCCUGCUUCCUGUCAUUUUGAGCAAACAACUCAUGAAGAUCUGGAUGAUCCUCUACCUGGUCCAUCUGGACUUCAGUCCACAGCUCCUGAAGAACCUGCUGACCAUCAACCAGAACAACAAACGGCAAAAGACAGAAAGACGAAGGGUAGCCGUGCCGGCUUCAAGAGAGCAUGCAAGGCUAUAAAGGGAACAUUCUCUCGCCACAAAAAGACCAAAGUGGUGCCCUUCGAACCGGAUCCAUCGGAUCUACAGCCAGAUCCAAUUGUCCAGACACAUUUAUGUGUUUUUGAGCCAGUGGUCGUACAGGACCCUGCAGUUGAUUUAUUUCCUGCUUCCUGUGACUUGGAGAAAACAACUCUUGAAGAUCUGGAUGAUCCUCAGCCUGGUCCAUCUGGACUUCACUCAGCAGCUCCUGAAGAACCUGUUGACCAUCAACCAGAACAACAAACGGCAAAAGACGGAAAGACGAAGGGUAGCCGUGCCGGCUUCAAGAGAGCAUGCAAGGCUAUAAAGGGAACAUUCUCUCGCCACAAAAAGACCAAAGUGGUGCCCUUCGAACCGGAUCCAUCGGAUCUACAGCCAGAUCCAAUUUUCCGGACACAUUUAUGUGUUUUUGAGCCAGUGCUCUUACAGGACCCUGCAGUUGAUUUAUUUCCUGCUUCCUGUAAUUUUGAGCAAACAACUCUUGAAGAUCUGGAUGAUCCUCAGCCUGGUCCAUCUGGACUUCAGUCCACAGCUCCUGAAGAACCUGCUGACCAUCAACCAGAACAACAAACGGCAAAAGACAAAAAGACGAAGGGUAGCCGUGCCGGCUUCAAGAGAGCAUGCAAGGCUAUAAAGGGAAAAUUCUCUCGCCACAAAAAGACCAAAGUGGUGCCCUUCGAACCGGAUCCAUCGGAUCUACAGCCAGAUCCAAUUGUCCAGACACAUUUAUGUGUUUUUGAGCCAGUGGUCGUACAGGACAUACCCGCAGUUGAUUUAUUUCCUGCUUCCUGUCAUUUGGAGCAAACAACUCUUGAAGAUCUGGAUGAUCCUCAGCCUGGUCCAUCUGGACUUCAGUCCACAGCUCCUGAAGAACCUACUGACCAUCAACCAGAACAACAAACGGCAAAAGACAGAAAGACGAAGGGUAGCCGUGCCGGCUUCAAGAGAGCAUGCAAGGCUAUAAAGGGAAAAUUCUCUCGCCACAAAAAGACCCAAGUGGUGCCCUUCGAACCGGAUCCAUCGGAUCUACAGCAAGAUCCAAUUGUCCAGACACAUUUAUGUGUUUUUGAGCCUGUGGUCGUACAGGACAUACCCGCAGUUGAUUUAUUUCCUGCUUCCUGUCAUUUUGAGCAAACAACUCAUGAAGAUCUGGAUGAUCCUCAGCCUGGUCCAUCUGGAAUUCAGUCCGCAGCUCCUGAAGAACCUGUUGACCAUCAACCAGAACAACAAACAAAAGAACCUACUGAUCCGGAUCCAUCUGAUCUUCAGGCAGAUCCACCUGUACUCGAGCCAACAGUUUUAGAAGAACCAGCUGAAAUUCAGCCUGAACGAUCAGUUUCAUCGCUUUAUGAAGAGGGCCGAAUUUUAGGAAUAGGCUACUCUGGCGUUGUGUAUGAGGGGAUUCGCAAAUCCGAUGGACAGAAGGUUGCCAUCAAAAAAUUGAUUGGGACCAACGAUUUUCGCCUUAAUGUCCCUGGGUAUUCUAAGCCUCUGUUCAUGGAAGCGGCUAUAAAUCUACAGCUCCACAAACGAGAGAAAUGCCCCAACAUCGUGCAGAUGUUAGACUGGUUUGAAGAAGAAGAGAGGUGCACCAUAGUUUUGGAGUACCCACAUCCCUGCUUGACCUUGUGGCACUUCUUGUGGCUCGUCAUUUCAUAAGGCAAGUCGUGAUCGCAGCUCAACACUGGCUUGACCACGGUGUCAACCAUGGUGUCCUGUCAUUGAAAAACGUCCUGAUCAAUACGGAGACGAAGCAGUUGAAAGUUAUAGACUUUGGAUGCAGCCUACUCAUCUCAACUAUCAACGACCUAACCUCAGGAUACUGUGACCAAGCUUAUGCGGCUGCAGAUACCGUCAACGUUAUGGGUAAAUUGCUGAAGAAAAUAGAUUCUUGCAACGAGAUAUAUAAGUUUGUAUCUCGAGAGCAAGAAUACGUCCCAUUUUCAGAAGAAUGCAAAGACUUGAUAGAGCGGAGCACGUGCAGUAACCUGGCGGACAGGCUUUCAUUAGAUGAGUUCUCAGAUCACGAGUGGUUCAAGCAGGGAUAAAGGUCAGGUUUGGCUUUAUUUAGAGCUCUGCUACGUUCAGUUAAGAACCGCCCCUUUCACUUUACUUUUAAGCUUUUCCUCUUUGAAGGGAUGUUUUUUUAGGCUAAACAUUUCAAUUUUUGAAGUAAUUGUUGGUGUUCUACUAACUCUCCUUUAAUAAUGCCCGAGAAGGUAGCUGCCUGGUGAGUGCAGAAUGAGAACCACACAUCCGAACGCUUGGUGCGGACUGUGAGUAUGAUAAUGUAUUAAUACUGUACCAGGCACUUCCGAAACCGUCACAAACUUAGAUAACUUAGAGUCAAUGUCUCUCACAGCAUCUUAACUACAUUGAUCUCUAUCGUUUCGGUCAUCAGAUCAUUCAGAUCAGCUCAUUCCGUUUGGUAAAAUCAUGAAUAACGUGAAUAACCUUUAACAUAAUUAAUAGAACAAUAGAACUCCUUUAGCUGGAAGUCGGCGGCGAGUUCCUCGUCCCCUGAUUCUCCCCUUUGGGCGGACGGACGCGGGCUCCGGACUCUGGCAGUCGUUGGCCGCACUCGGUGCUUCCGCCCCCUGCUCCUCCCCCUUGGGCGGACGGACACAGGCUCCGACCUCUGGCAGACGAAGGUGACUCCCCCGCUCCCGCUUGGACGUUAGCCACCCUACCUCGACCCAGGAGUGCGGCAGCAAAAGUCCCCGUCCCACCGAAGCUCUGGUGGCCCACGACGGUUCCUCCUCUUCUCAAGAACCACUGCUUCGGGCAGCCACUGGCGGACGCCCUUCGUCCGCGCUGCCUGAACUCUCUGACAACGCGAGACCACACGGCGGCAUGGACUCUCCGACAGCAUGUUUCUCCUUCCUCCCGGGUUUCGGCACCAAUGUAACAAAGUUGAUUCCAACUGUCAAUCACAGUUGGAAUCCCCGCCUUAUUGACCACAAUCAGUAAGAAAAGUAAGAGAAGCCACUGAAUAUAAUAAUUUUCAUCAAUAAUUAACAUUGCGCAAGCCGAUGAUUACGAAACACCACAAAUACGCUUCUUUUCUGUAGGCCUGCUGUGUGGGUAAACACAGUCGUGAUGGUUUUAAGAGGCAAUUUCAGAAUACUUUGACGACUUUCCUUCAGGCAUUUAAGAAUGACUAUAACAACAUUUCUCGUGCUAUUUAACAAGAUCAGUUCUCUGGUUAGUCAGGUUACGCCUUCUCAUAGUGCAGUUACGAGACUUUUUGGAGGAAUUUAUUAGGCAAAUGCUUCUCCAUCUCCCAUUAUUUGAAAUAAGCCUUUUUCGCAAAGAUGAAAAACCACGUACGUAAAACUUUUUUGCGAAAAAAGGUUUUUUUUAUUCAAAAUGUAUCUUUUCCAUCACUCGUUUCUGAUGCGAAACUUCAAAAUGCGAAUUAAACCAGAAUGAUGGAAACCUGCUUAGUGUAUUGUCAUAAUGAUGAUGUUGUGUAUAUUUGUACAUGUAAAGAAAUAAAACACCCUCAACAUUUGUGUAGGAUUUAGAAGCUCAACGGUUAACUUAAAAUACACCUGCGGGUCCAGGUGGAGACUGCCGUGUAUAACAUAUGGGAAAUUAAGCAUUUAAUCAUAUGUUAACGGUAUUUCGUCAGUUCUUCUGCGUCUCAUCGCAGCAUCUGUCCAACAACACAAAUAUGUCUCUCUGAAGGGUCCAUCACGACAACUUUCCUUAAAUAUAUAAUGCAAAACAUGUAAGGCGAAUAAAUAUAUGCAGAAUAUUUGACAAUUAACAGAUAAACAGAACGAAAGUGAAUAAUCGGUGACAAUGUGCUGAGUUUGGUCAGUUUGUGAGGCGCAGCACUCCACAAAUGAGUUAAUGGAUAGGAGAUGACAAAGUACACUCUGUAAGUUUUCUUUAUUUUGCAAAAGCACAAUGUUCAGUUUGUAGUAGAAGUGUGUACUUGACUAAAAGUAGAUAUAUGGCAUUAGUGCAUACUCAUAAUAAACUCGUACGCGUAAUCAUAUCUGUUUGACCAUUAAUCAUCACAGAGUUUUUAAAGUUUUUUCUGUGAAGUAAAGUGUUUAACUUCAUGUGCGCACUGCGCAGAAGAAUCCGCUUAUGAAAUCAUUGCAAUGGAAUUGCCGGGGUCGGGCCAGAUGUAGUCUCGAUCUCCCUGGGCUUGACAUGCCAGGGCCGCUUUUGCGGUGGGUUGUGACGGAACGGUGGUCUCCUCCUUCUUUUAUGUGAAGGUGAUGUUAAAUUCGAUGACACACCUGCAUCAGCCAUGUUAAUUGAGCAAUGAUAGAACGAUACACUCCCUGCUGUAAUACCCACCCCUAGUGAAAAGAAAAGUGAUAACUAGUGGAUAGUAUUAGCAAAUUUAAUCACGUUAAUGAAUGUUCAGUGUUGUGUAAAUAUGAAAGGAAAAAAGUCAAUUCACAGCAUUUAAGAAUCGAUAUUGAAUUGAUCCGUUUAAAAAAAACGAUUAAUCGAUUUUGCCAAGCCCUAAUAAUUAACAUUAAAAAAACAGUUGUGGCCAGUGACUCUUCCGUGGGUGCAGGAAUGCAAAGGUCGUCAAAACAUGCAUUUAGCCCGUCAUGCAUGUUGCUCGUCAUCUCAAAGUGUGUUCGGCGCAUCACGUGAACAUAUGUGCAUUGGGCAUCAUGCCACAAUACGUGCCUGCUGCAUAUGCACAGAUACGCAGACACUCGAUAUUGUCGUUUUUCUGCACAUUCACACACACCACUUAUAAAUGAUAACAUACAAAUUAAUUGUAGUAAUUCGGAUUCAUGUUGUCAAGAAUUGCUUAAAUAUGAUAAAAAAAUCUGUGAUCAGAAGUAUUACAUCUCGUAUUAUUGUAGCAAAACUGAGCACCUGUGACUGUGAAAUCUGUAUAGAAUUUAUUAGUCUUUGGGAUAAUGUUUUAAGAUUUGUCAAGGCUGUACGGUGACUUUUCUUGCACUUAGCACUGGGGCAGUGCCUAAUUUGUCAAUUCCAAGGUUAAUGGGGUGGGGAGUUAGUGGGGUGGGUAGAAGUAAAGGAAUGUGCGAUAUCUGAGGGUUUUCUAUCCAUCUAUUUAGAUCUUUUGAAAAUGCCCAUAAAAAAGUCUAAAUGGAAACGGACACGCAAAAAUAAUAUCAGAUUGAUCAGUUCAAAAUCUUAGUUGUAAGGUGAUGGAAACAAUAGCAAGGUUUCACUACAAAUUUGUGAAUUUAGCUUAUGCGCAAUAUUGGAAUAUCGAAUAAAACAUUUUAGAAUAAACACCGUUUCAUUCCAACUAGUCAACCGUCACUUCCAAAUAAACUGCCACUUAAUAUCAGUGUUAUAAUGUUCAAUUAGAAGGAAGAAAGGAGGCUGGAACCGGCAAACACUAAACAUUUAAUAAACAACAAUUAAAUAAUAUAGACCCUCACACAUGACUGUGGGCGACACACACAAACCAAACUAAAGGCCAGGCUUGGUCCUCUCUCGUCAGCAUUCCCGUCGCUUGUCUUCUUAUGCUCCCAAUCUCCUCCAUGAGAUAUGCGGGACCCCGCCUCACGGCUCCCAUCACGUCUUCCUGACUGUAGUGGAGUAGGCGGGUCGAGACUGUGGUUCUCGUAUCACGUAGGAGAUCGGGAGCAUAAGAGAAUGAGAGACCGGACCGUCGACGAGAGAGGACCGGGCCCGUACAUGUUUAUGUUUGUAUUUAUGUUUUAUUCACCGGCCGUCGACCGUGAGGGGCGGUCAGCUGUCUUUUUACUUUUAUUUUAUGUGAUUAAAUGUUUAAAUGUUUGCUG
Molecule: RNA transcript, 7302 nt
Organism: Triplophysa dalaica
Lineage: Eukaryota; Metazoa; Chordata; Actinopteri; Cypriniformes; Nemacheilidae
Gene name: cell surface glycoprotein 1-like
Exons: 15
Source: RefSeq, a predicted model, not a curated record